AGAGUUUGAUCAUGGCUCAGGACGAACGCUGGCGGCGUGCUUAACACAUGCAAGUCAAGGAGAAAGGUUCCUUCGGGAAACGAGUAAACUGGCGAACGGGUGAGUAACACGUAGGUAACCUGCCCUAGAGACUGGGAUAACUCCGCGAAAGCGGUGCUAAUACUGGAUAAUGCAGCGGGUCCUUCGGGACAUUGUUGUUAAAACUGGCUUCGGCUAGUACUUUAGGAUGGGCCUGCGCCCGAUUAGCUUGUUGGUAGGGUAACGGCCUACCAAGGCGAUGAUCGGUAGCUGGUCUGAGAGGAUGAUCAGCCACACUGGGAUUGAGAUACGGCCCAGACUCCUACGGGAGGCAGCAGUGGGGAAUUUUGCGCAAUGGGCGAAAGCCUGACGCAGCAACGCCGCGUGACCGAUGAAGCUUCUAGGAGUGUAAAGGUCUGUCGUGAGGGAAGAAAAAUCCGGAUGUAAAUAAUGUUCGGACGUGACGGUACCUCACAAGAAAGCACCGGCUAACUUAGUGCCAGCAGCCGCGGUAAUACUAGGGGUGCUAGCGUUGUCCGGAAUCACUGGGGCGUAAAGGGGUCCGUAGGCGUUUUUGCUAAGUUGAUUGUUAAAUCCAUCGGCUCAACCGAUGAUCUGCAAUCAAAACUGGCAGAAAUAAAGUUCGAGAGA
Molecule: ribosomal RNA, 669 nt
Filed under: uncultured marine bacterium
Lineage: Bacteria
Description: bacterial SSU rRNA
Rfam family: Bacterial small subunit ribosomal RNA
Source: RNAcentral